Molecule: ribosomal RNA, 2570 nt
Filed under: Escherichia coli
Lineage: Bacteria; Pseudomonadati; Pseudomonadota; Gammaproteobacteria; Enterobacterales; Enterobacteriaceae
Description: bacterial LSU rRNA
Rfam family: Bacterial large subunit ribosomal RNA
Source: RNAcentral
AAGAAAUCAACCGAGAUUCCCCCAGUAGCGGCGAGCGAACGGGGAGCAGCCCAGAGCCUGAAUCAGUGUGUGUGUUAGUGGAAGCGUCUGGAAAGGCGCGCGAUACAGGGUGACAGCCCCGUACACAAAAAUGCACAUAUUGUGAGCUCGAUGAGUAGGGCGGGACACGUGGUAUCCUGUCUGAAUAUGGGGGGACCAUCCUCCAAGGCUAAAUACUCCUGACUGACCGAUAGUGAACCAGUACCGUGAGGGAAAGGCGAAAAGAACCCCGGCGAGGGGAGUGAAAAAGAACCUGAAACCGUGUACGUACAAGCAGUGGGAGCACAGAGCAAUCUGUGUGACUGCGUACCUUUUGUAUAAUGGGUCAGCGACUUAUAUUCUGUAGCAAGGUUAACCGAAUAGGGGAGCCGAAGGGAAACCGAGUCUUAACUGGGCGUUAAGUUGCAGGGUAUAGACCCGAAACCCGGUGAUCUAGCCAUGGGCAGGUUGAAGGUUGGGUAACACUAACUGGAGGACCGAACCGACUAAUGUUGAAAAAUUAGCGGAUGACUUGUGGCUGGGGGUGAAAGGCCAAUCAAACCGGGAGAUAGCUGGUUCUCCCCGAAAGCUAUUUAGGUAGCGCCUCGUGAAUUCAUCUCCGGGGGUAGAGCACUGUUUCGGCAAGGGGGUCAUCCCGACUUACCAACCCGAUGCAAACUGCGAAUACCGGAGAAUGUUAUCACGGGAGACACACGGCGGGUGCUAACGUCCGUCGUGAAGAGGGAAACAACCCAGACCGCCAGCUAAGGUCCCAAAGUCAUGGUUAAGUGGGAAACGAUGUGGGAAGGCCCAGACAGCCAGGAUGUUGGCUUAGAAGCAGCCAUCAUUUAAAGAAAGCGUAAUAGCUCACUGGUCGAGUCGGCCUGCGCGGAAGAUGUAACGGGGCUAAACCAUGCACCGAAGCUGCGGCAGCGACACUGUGUGUUGUUGGGUAGGGGAGCGUUCUGUAAGCCUGUGAAGGUGUACUGUGAGGUAUGCUGGAGGUAUCAGAAGUGCGAAUGCUGACAUAAGUAACGAUAAAGCGGGUGAAAAGCCCGCUCGCCGGAAGACCAAGGGUUCCUGUCCAACGUUAAUCGGGGCAGGGUGAGUCGACCCCUAAGGCGAGGCCGAAAGGCGUAGUCGAUGGGAAACAGGUUAAUAUUCCUGUACUUGGUGUUACUGCGAAGGGGGGACGGAGAAGGCUAUGUUGGCCGGGCGACGGUUGUCCCGGUUUAAGCGUGUAGGCUGGUUUUCCAGGCAAAUCCGGAAAAUCAAGGCUGAGGCGUGAUGACGAGGCACUACGGUGCUGAAGCAACAAAUGCCCUGCUUCCAGGAAAAGCCUCUAAGCAUCAGGUAACAUCAAAUCGUACCCCAAACCGACACAGGUGGUCAGGUAGAGAAUACCAAGGCGCUUGAGAGAACUCGGGUGAAGGAACUAGGCAAAAUGGUGCCGUAACUUCGGGAGAAGGCACGCUGAUAUGUAGGUGAAGCGACUUGCUCGUGGAGCUGAAAUCAGUCGAAGAUACCAGCUGGCUGCAACUGUUUAUUAAAAACACAGCACUGUGCAAACACGAAAGUGGACGUAUACGGUGUGACGCCUGCCCGGUGCCGGAAGGUUAAUUGAUGGGGUCAGCGCAAGCGAAGCUCUUGAUCGAAGCCCCGGUAAACGGCGGCCGUAACUAUAACGGUCCUAAGGUAGCGAAAUUCCUUGUCGGGUAAGUUCCGACCUGCACGAAUGGCGUAAUGAUGGCCAGGCUGUCUCCACCCGAGACUCAGUGAAAUUGAACUCGCUGUGAAGAUGCAGUGUACCCGCGGCAAGACGGAAAGACCCCGUGAACCUUUACUAUAGCUUGACACUGAACAUUGAGCCUUGAUGUGUAGGAUAGGUGGGAGGCUUUGAAGUGUGGACGCCAGUCUGCAUGGAGCCGACCUUGAAAUACCACCCUUUAAUGUUUGAUGUUCUAACGUUGACCCGUGAUCCGGGUUGCGGACAGUGUCUGGUGGGUAGUUUGACUGGGGCGGUCUCCUCCUAAAGAGUAACGGAGGAGCACGAAGGUUGGCUAAUCCUGGUCGGACAUCAGGAGGUUAGUGCAAUGGCAUAAGCCAGCUUGACUGCGAGCGUGACGGCGCGAGCAGGUGCGAAAGCAGGUCAUAGUGAUCCGGUGGUUCUGAAUGGAAGGGCCAUCGCUCAACGGAUAAAAGGUACUCCGGGGAUAACAGGCUGAUACCGCCCAAGAGUUCAUAUCGACGGCGGUGUUUGGCACCUCGAUGUCGGCUCAUCACAUCCUGGGGCUGAAGUAGGUCCCAAGGGUAUGGCUGUUCGCCAUUUAAAGUGGUACGCGAGCUGGGUUUAGAACGUCGUGAGACAGUUCGGUCCCUAUCUGCCGUGGGCGCUGGAGAACUGAGGGGGGCUGCUCCUAGUACGAGAGGACCGGAGUGGACGCAUCACUGGUGUUCGGGUUGUCAUGCCAAUGGCACUGCCCGGUAGCUAAAUGCGGAAGAGAUAAGUGCUGAAAGCAUCUAAGCACGAAACUUGCCCCGAGAUGAGUUCU